This 1144-nucleotide ribosomal RNA is filed under the name uncultured fungus. RNAcentral's name for it is "eukaryotic LSU rRNA". The stretch from base 519 to 1144 matches the Rfam family "Eukaryotic large subunit ribosomal RNA", at positions 1 to 649 of the family's 3401-position model. The record is from RNAcentral. Lineage: Eukaryota; Fungi.
AGUCGUAACAAGGUUUCCGUAGGUGAACCUGCGGAAGGAUCAUUAAAGAGAAGGGGAGUUCGCUCUCCGGGGUUUCGGCCCUCCUCUUCACCCGAUGUUUACAUAUCUCUGUUGCUUUGGCGAGCCUCGUUUGUCAAGAACGUGUCGAUUCGGUCGGCAAGUGCUGGCCAAAGGAUUUUAAAUUCUUUCUUAUUGCUGUCUGAAAACACACAAAUCAAUUAAAACUUUCAACAACGGAUCUCUUGGCUCUGGCAUCGAUGAAGAACGCAGCGAAAUGCGAUAAGUAAUGUGAAUUGCAGAAUUCAGUGAAUCAUCGAAUCUUCGAACGCACAUUGCACUCCUCGGUAUUCCGGGGAGUAUGCCUGUUCGAGCGUCAUUUCACCUCUCAAGCGUCAGCUUGGUAUUGGAUCUCAUCCGAAAGGAUGUUUCCGAAAGACAGUGGCAGUCUGGGAACCUUCAAGCGCAGUGAAAAUGAUCGCUCUGAAUUACUCCGACUCGCCAACAACACAUCAACAUCUUGACCUCGGAUCAGGUAGGGAUACCCGCUGAACUUAAGCAUAUCAAUAAGCGGAGGAAAAGAAACCAACAGGGAUUGCCUCAGUAACGGCGAGUGAAGCGGCAACAGCUCAAAUUUGAAAUCUGGCUUCGGCCCGAGUUGUAAUUUGUAGAGGAUGUUUCGGAUGCGACUCUUGUCUAAGUCUUUUGGAACGAGGCGUCAUAGAGGGUGAGAAUCCCGUAUGUGACCGGUAGUCAAAUCCAUGUGAAACUCCUUCGACGAGUCGAGUUGUUUGGGAAUGCAGCUCAAAAUGGGUGGUAAAUUUCAUCUAAAGCUAAAUACCGGCCAGAGACCGAUAGCGCACAAGUAGAGUGAUCGAAAGAUGAAAAGCACUUUGGAAAGAGAGUCAAAAAGUACGUGAAAUUGUUGAAAGGGAAGCGCUUGCAACCAGACCUGUCCGUAGUGAUCAACGGCUGUUCUCAGCCGUGUACUCGCUCCGAUCAGGCCAGCAUCAGUUUGGGCGGUGGGAUAAAGGCCUGGGGAAUGUAGCUCUCCUCGGAGAGUGUUAUAGCCCCAGGUGUAAUGCCGCCAGCCCGGACUGAGGACCGCGCUUCGGCUAGGAUGCUGGCAUAAUGGUUGUAAGCGACC